This is a non-coding RNA of Thamnophis sirtalis, 440 nucleotides long. The record is from RefSeq and is a predicted model, not a curated record. Lineage: Eukaryota; Metazoa; Chordata; Lepidosauria; Squamata; Natricidae.
GCUUGGGGGCAAAUGCCAUCUAUGAAACAUUUCUCUCAGAAAACAGGAGGCCUAAACUAAUGUUCUAAUGUUGCUUUUUUCCUUAUUUUUGUUUCCCGCAGAGCACUAAAAAACAUCAAGAAUAAUUUUUUCUUUCCUGUUUUAUGGCUGAAUGAGACGGCUAUUAUCGGUGAUGAGAAAGCAGAAUUUUUCCGAUCAAAUGUGACCAACAAGAUCAAGUUGCUGAACAUUGUCCAAAUCGUGCUCAUAACCCUUGGCUCCGUGAUGUUCCUGGGAUUCCUCAUUGCCGUCUGUGCUUGCAGGAAGAAGGAUCCCAAAUAAGUAAUAGAAAAAGCAGAAUUUUGAAUCCGGAUGAAUUAAUUUGGCUCCACCGGAUUCUGGUUGGCGUUCAACAUUAAAAUAAAACCAGCGUCAAUCAAUUAAAAAAAACAAACAGAAAA